CCUACGGGGGGCAGCAGUGGGGAAUAUUGGACAAUGGGGGGAACCCUGAUCCAGCCAUGCCGCGUGUGUGAAGAAGGCCCUCGGGUUGUAAAGCACUUUCAGUGAGGAAGAACGCCUGGUGGUUAAUACCCAUCAGGAAAGACAUCACUCACAGAAGAAGCACCGGCUAACUCCGUGCCAGCAGCCGCGGUAAUACGGAGGGUGCGAGCGUUAAUCGGAAUUACUGGGCGUAAAGCGCGCGUAGGUGGCUUGAUAAGCCGGUUGUGAAAGCCCCGGGCUCAACCUGGGAACGGCAUCCGGAACUGUCAAGCUAGAGUGCAGGAGAGGAAGGUAGAAUUCCCGGUGUAGCGGUGAAAUGCGUAGAGAUCGGGAGGAAUACCAGUGGCGAAGGCGGCCUUCUGGACUGACACUGACACUGAGGUGCGAACGCGUGGGUAGCAAACAGGAUUAGAUACCCUAGUAGUC
RNAcentral lists this ribosomal RNA (465 nucleotides) under Vreelandella stevensii. RNAcentral's name for it is "partial 16S ribosomal RNA". It matches the Rfam family "Bacterial small subunit ribosomal RNA", at positions 338 to 795 of the family's 1533-position model. The record is from RNAcentral. Lineage: Bacteria; Pseudomonadati; Pseudomonadota; Gammaproteobacteria; Oceanospirillales; Halomonadaceae.